This 1352-nucleotide ribosomal RNA is filed under the name uncultured bacterium. RNAcentral's name for it is "bacterial SSU rRNA". It matches the Rfam family "Bacterial small subunit ribosomal RNA", at positions 28 to 1381 of the family's 1533-position model. The record is from RNAcentral.
AUUGAACGCUGGCGGCAUGCCUUACACAUGCAAGUCGAACGGCAGCACGGAGCUUGCUCUGGUGGCGAGUGGCGAACGGGUGAGUAAUAUAUCGGAACGUACCCUAGAGUGGGGGAUAACGUAGCGAAAGUUACGCUAAUACCGCAUACGAUCUAAGGAUGAAAGUGGGGGAUCGCAAGACCUCAUGCUCGUGGAGCGGCCGAUAUCUGAUUAGCUAGUUGGUAGGGUAAAAGCCUACCAAGGCAUCGAUCAGUAGCUGGUCUGAGAGGACGACCAGCCACACUGGAACUGAGACACGGUCCAGACUCCUACGGGAGGCAGCAGUGGGGAAUUUUGGACAAUGGGCGAAAGCCUGAUCCAGCAAUGCCGCGUGAGUGAAGAAGGCCUUCGGGUUGUAUAGCUCUUUUGUCAGGGAAGAAACGGUGGGAGCUAAUAUCUCUUGCUAAUGACGGUACCUGAAGAAUAAGCACCGGCUAACUACGUGCCAGCAGCCGCGGUAAUACGUAGGGUGCAAGCGUUAAUCGGAAUUACUGGGCGUAAAGCGUGCGCAGGCGGUUUUGUAAGUCUGAUGUGAAAUCCCCGGGCUCAACCUGGGAAUUGCAUUGGAGACUGCAAGGCUAGAAUCUGGCAGAGGGGGGUAGAAUUCCACGUGUAGCAGUGAAAUGCGUAGAUAUGUGGAGGAACACCGAUGGCGAAGGCAGCCCCCUGGGUCAAGAUUGACGCUCAUGCACGAAAGCGUGGGGAGCAAACAGGAUUAGAUACCCUGGUAGUCCACGCCCUAAACGAUGUCUACUAGUUGUCGGGUCUUAAUUGACUUGGUAACGCAGCUAACGCGUGAAGUAGACCGCCUGGGGAGUACGGUCGCAAGAUUAAAACUCAAAGGAAUUGACGGGGACCCGCACAAGCGGUGGAUGAUGUGGAUUAAUUCGAUGCAACGCGAAAAACCUUACCUACCCUUGACAUGGCUGGAAUCCUUGAGAGAUCAGGGAGUGCUCGAAAGAGAACCAGUACACAGGUGCUGCAUGGCUGUCGUCAGCUCGUGUCGUGAGAUGUUGGGUUAAGUCCCGCAACGAGCGCAACCCUUGUCAUUAGUUGCUACGAAAGGGCACUCUAAUGAGACUGCCGGUGACAAACCGGAGGAAGGUGGGGAUGACGUCAAGUCCUCAUGGCCCUUAUGGGUAGGGCUUCACACGUCAUACAAUGGUACAUACAGAGCGCCGCCAACCCGCGAGGGGGAGCUAAUCGCAGAAAGUGUAUCGUAGUCCGGAUUGUAGUCUGCAACUCGACUGCAUGAAGUUGGAAUCGCUAGUAAUCGCGGAUCAGCAUGUCGCGGUGAAUACGUUCCCGGGUCU